Molecule: long non-coding RNA, 835 nt
Filed under: Fukomys damarensis (Damara mole-rat)
Lineage: Eukaryota; Metazoa; Chordata; Mammalia; Rodentia; Bathyergidae
Description: lncRNA (ENSFDAG00000026845.1)
Source: RNAcentral
UUCCAGGGUUUCAAAGCAUGUACUUUAUCUUCAGGGAAAUAUUCUCUGCUUGCUUUUAUAUAGUUUAUCGGUAAAAGGAAGGAAAGCCAACGGCGCGGUGCUUGCAAUGCACGGCCCCACAUUCGGCAACUCUGGUUUCAUCACACAGCACGAGCUCUACUUGCUGCCAUGCUCCAUCCUGUGCCUUCUGUGCUGGAAGAAAAGUCACCAUCGUAAGCCAUGGUCUUCUCUCUCAUGUGAAGAGAGCCAUCAUGGGGAAUGCCUCAUCCAUUCCACCUACUUAGAAGAGAUAGUCAAAAUGGUCACAGAAAACAUCAACCACUCUGCUGCAUCAGAUAAGUAAACCAUUUUGUUUCCUCUAAAUAAAAGAGAAAAUCAGCCCCAUCUUGGAAAUAUGGUCCCGCUUUGCAUAUCUUGUGCAGCUAGUUUUGCCACUCUCUUGCUUGCCAUAACUCACUCCAACCCCAGUUAUAAAAUUACCUCUUUGUGCUUGUUCUUACUUUCUUUGGGAUUCUCUUUAGUUGCUUUAAAUUGACUCUAUAAGAGACAAUAGUCCAUGAGUACUGUACAGAGCCUUAAAUCUAAUCUCUCUGUUAUUGCUAAAAGUUUUCUAAGGACCUGACAGACAGUAUAGACACAAUUGCCCUGAACAUCGUCACCCUCCAGAAUCAGUUAGAUUUACCGACUGUGGCAGCCCUGCAAAACUGGAGGGCCUAGACCUCCUAACCACUGAAAAAGGGUGAUUGUAUUUGUCUCUAAAAGAAUGCUGCUUAUAUGUCAACUAUUCUGGAAUAGUGAGAGAUGCAGUAUGAAAAUCAGCUGACCACACUUCUAG